UAUUGGCGCGCCUCAAUCCGA
RNAcentral lists this microRNA (21 nucleotides) under Zea mays. Its description in RNAcentral is "zma-miR171m-5p". Its record names the gene zma-miR171m-5p. The record is from miRBase by way of RNAcentral. Lineage: Eukaryota; Viridiplantae; Streptophyta; Magnoliopsida; Poales; Poaceae.